CAAAAACAACGGAGUGAUUACACUCUUCAUUGCUUGAGGAACCGACGGCCGUAGUUUCCGUGUGAGGAUAAAAACUGUUUACAAAAGUUAAAGUAAAUAAGAAAAUUUAAUUUUUUGUUGGUAUAAUGGUUAUGGCGGACAGAAAUGUCGUAGAUAUAAGAAAUGGAAGGCGUUCUCGUUGUGCUAGUCCGAAUGACUUUUCAGACGACGACAGCGCCGACUCUGAUCGUGAGGGUGGUGGAAUGAGAGUUGGACAUGAUUUCCAAGCAACAGUUCCAGAGUUCACCCCAGAUUUAAGACCAGAUCAACGAAAUGAAGCCAUCUUGGUGUGGGCUCCUGGGAGUGAGCUGUCUGAUAUCAAUGUUGAUGAUUACGUUACAAUAGCAAAGGAGAAGCAUGGUUACAAUACAGAACAAGCCCUUGGUAUGCUGUUUUGGCAUAAACACAACAUCGAGAAAGCUCUAGCAGACCUGCCCAACUUUACCCCGUUCCCUGAUGAAUGGACUGUGGAGGAUAAAGUACUAUUUGAACAGGCAUUCAGCUUUCAUGGGAAGAGUUUUCACCGCAUCAGACAAAUGUUGCCAGACAAAUCCAUUGCUAGCCUUGUCAAGUACUACUACUCAUGGAAGAAAACCCGGUCACGAACAAGUCUAAUGGACAGACAAGCAAAGAAACUCACAAAAGCGGGUGACAGUGAUGAAUCUGGGGAUGAAAACAAUAAACCAACAGAAAAUGGUAAAGAAGACUCUAAGGAAAAUGAGAAAGAAGACAGAGAAUUCUACCAUGAAAGGAGAACAGGUGUGAUAAGGUCAAAGCGACAUGACCAUGGCCACAGUCGACACAAUCCUAUGAAACACAAAAGAAAGCCUCCGCGCGGAAUGUUCAUCAACACAGAGGAUUUACAGCUAGUUGGUAAUGGUUUGUCUGGUCAGGCCGAGGCUCUGCUCAAGGCACUGGAUGGAGAGUUGGUCUCAAUCAAACGACAGGUACAGAAUAAUAAACAGAUAAUUAGCAUGCAGAAACACAAGCUGACCUGUGGCAUAGAUGAACUGAAACCUCCAGAGAGUAAUCAACGUAUAAAUGCAAAAUGGACAAAUGAGGAGUUAUUACUAGGGGUUCAAGGUGUCAGAAAAUAUGGAAAAGACUUUCAGGCUAUUGCUGAAGUGAUAGGAAAUAAGACAGAAGCACAUGUACGAAGUUUCUUUGUAAACUUUCGACGGCGAUAUAAUUUAGAUGAAGUCCUUGCAGAGUAUGAAGCAGAACAUGGGACAGACAGCACUAGGGAUGAUGAGGAAACAAAAGAUGAGGAAAAGAUGGAAACUGACACAAAUGAGAUAGAAAUGAAUGGUAUCGGUACAGAUGACAAGAAUGGGACAUCUGCCACCUCAACAGCACCCCCACCUCUCCUCAAACAAGCUCAGGGAUCUGUUAGCCUGCGGGUGCCAUCAGUACCUCAACACUCCAGAUUACUUCCUCCCCAGAGAACGAUAUUACAUCAACCCCCACCACUGAUUGCUGGCCGUCCCAACUCUUCCUCUCCGUCUAACACCACAAAAUCCAUCAGUGCCUCGUGAUAUAAACAAUGGACUGCCACGUAUCGGGUCUUGUGUAACGGUUAUGGACUAAUAACUCCAAGGAACGAACAGCUUACAUUUAAGCAAUGUGCAGAAUGACUAGUGCUAAAAGGUACAUCUGGAAAUGUACUACCGUAUGUAGAAGAACAUGAGAAGUGUGCUAAGAGUGCUAAGCUCUUUGGAGACAUAACACACCAUAUAGAAUGCCCAACUCUAAUUAUGAGCAUAGUGUGUUGUGUGUACAGAAAGUCUAAACUCUGAUCAGGAUAUAAAAAAAAAAUGUGUGCAAGAGACUUUACAGUGCCUACUACAGGUGACCUCAAUAGAAAAAUAAACCGGUUACUUACCACAGAAGUACCAAAAAUUCCAAAAGCAAUUCUGGCUGUAUCAUUAUCAUGGUAUGAUAGGUGAUAAAUAACUACUUUUGUCCAUGUCUGACUUAAGAAAAUAGUUAAUUUUCUGGUCAGUCUGAAUUUUGCAUGAUGGUGGCUUGCAUGAAUUUAUUGGUGUUAUUGGUGUGUUAAUGAGAGGAAUCCAUUGUCUACAUGCUGUAUACAAUUAUUUGAAUGGAUUUUUUAAUUUUGUAAUUGAUAGCUGGUAUAUGUUUUUUCUUCUAUUUUUAACCAUUUCAAUUGCAUUAAUUUGAUCAAGUGCAAUAAUUUAUCUACUGUCCCACGAUCUUGUUUCUGUAGCCUCAUUUAUUAGUCCUCGUAUACUUUCUAAUAGUGCAAGCCACAUUUUCACAAAAAUUCUAAACUUCUUGAUGCUUCAAUUUUUCUGCUUGCAGUUUAUUUGUCGUUCAAGUUGAAUUAUGAUCUAGAUUUUAAAUACACGUACCUCAUAAAUACUAUAAAAAAAUACAUGUACAUCUUUCACACCCCACUUUCCAGUAAAAUGUCAAUCCCACCCCAAGACUCGUGGUUUUAUGGUGGGGCAACCAUUAUCAACUCUAAUUGCAAAACAUUAAUAGUCAGGAGACCCAACUAUGGAUAAAAGUAGUUAAUUGAAGUCCUAGGGUAAGGUUUUAUUUUUUACUGAAAUAGUGAUAAGAGUAUUUGUGUAAAAGUUAUUGAUUUGCAGCAUUUCAAAUACAUUUGCAUAUGGUUCAUUUGAACUCGUGAAACCCAUUACUGAAGGCAUAUCGGUGUACAUUAUUUUCACUUUCCCAUAUUCAGUUGAUUUUAUUGACUUAACUACAGGUAGGUUUCUCAUCCUUCUCAAGCUUGCAGCUGUGAAGAAUUGCAUACAUGCCAUGCUUCUUCAAGUAUUAAAUGUCAGUGUAGAAAAAAUAAUGUUUUAAUGGGGCUUUGUUUGUAUGUCUUUGUCAGUCGCAUUAGUAGUGGACAGUUUUGUAAUUAGACAAUGUAAUAAGUUGAGGAGUCACAUUAGUGGUGGAUCCAGAAGGAGUCUUGGAGAGAUCCAGAAAUCUUGUUGGGGGUUUCCACGUAGGGAAACUUAAGGAAAUGGAUUUCUUUCCUAAGGAAAUUGCCAGGUCCCUGAACCCCUCUAUGUCUGCCACUGCCAUGUGAAAUUGAUAAUUCAGAUCAUAACUUUCUGGGCUAUUGUUGUGACAUGUAGUCACUGCAAGGCAGUCAAAUUUAUUAAAUAAAAAGGUCACUUUUUAUAUAGUUUGCAGUAAUGGGUAUACAAGGACUUGAACCAUCUUUUCAAUUCAUUUUACAUCAAGAUCAGUUCAUUUGUACAUAAAAGUGUAUUUCAUUUCAAUUGUACUUCAAGUUGCAGUGAAUGUACAUUAGCAGUUUUUGUGUUAAAUGAUACAUUCUAUAAAGUUUUCCCAAUCAUUUUGUACAUACCUUUUUUAUUUAUUAUCAUUUGUACUAUAGGUUUUUGUAUAUUUUGCUGUUGGUCCGGUUUAGGCAACCCAGUGAUUACAAGUACAUUGUAUCUCACUAGGAAGUGAUGCUCAACUCUUGAUUAUUGUAUGCUGGUGAAACCUUAGACUUGGUAUGGUGGUACUGAUCUCGCUGACCUUGUUGUCCAUGUCAGUGCUGCUUUCAUGUUAUUGGAUGCUGGUGAAACCUUAGACUUGGUAUGGUGGUACUGAUCUCGCUGACCUUGUUGUCCAUGUCAGUGCUACUAUCAUGUUACUGUAUGCUGGUGAAACCUCAGACUUGGUAUGGUGGUACUGGCUGACCUUGUUGUCCAUGUCAGUGCUACUAUCAUGUUAUUGUAUGCUGGUGAAACCUUAGACUUGGUAUGGUGGUACUGGCUGACCUUGUUGUCCAUGUCAGUGCUGCUAUCAUGUUAUUGGAUGUCCUUGAAGUUACAAAGAUAGCGAGGUUACAUGACAUUUUACAAAGUGGUUGUAAUAUCACAUUGAUGUGAUUGAUACUGAUAUAGGUCAGAUCAGUGACAAGAACUACAGGAUACUGUAUACUGAGGUCAGUGACAAGAACUACUGAGGUCAGUGACAGGAACUACUGAGGUCAGUGACAGGAACUACUGAGGUCAGUGACAAGAACUACAGGAGACUGUAUACUGAGGUCAGUGACAAGAACUACAGGACACUGUAUACUGAGGUCAGUGACAGGAACUACUGAGGUCAGUGACAAGAACUACAGGAUACUGUAUACUGAGGUCAGUGACAAGAAAUACAGGAUACUGUAUACUGAGGUCAGUGACAAGAACUACAGGAUACUGUAUACUGAGAAAGUUUUGUCCCAGUUAAACAUUCACCUUUUCUUCCUUCCAGAAUUUAUUGCAACAGUGAAAUUGCACAACAUACAAUAUAUAGUCAUUACAUAUGAAGGGUGAAAUGGAUACUGGGGAACAUGGAUUUUACCAGUGAAGGUGAGAGUUUGACUGGGCACGCGUUUACUGGUAUAUGGAACACAGUUCUUUGUCAUUGUGUUGUUGCAUGAAAGUAAUGAAUUAAUCUAUAUAAAUCAUCUGAACGGUAUCAAAUCAACUCAUUUUACUGCUGUAACACAUGUUUCAUUCCAUUACACAGUGAGAGAUAAAGAUAAAAAUUAGUUUAUAUAAAUGUCUAUAUCUGAAAUAAUCAUAUUGAAUAAAAAUUGAA
Molecule: RNA transcript, 4617 nt
Organism: Mizuhopecten yessoensis (Yesso scallop)
Lineage: Eukaryota; Metazoa; Mollusca; Bivalvia; Pectinida; Pectinidae
Gene name: REST corepressor 3-like
Exons: 15
Source: RefSeq, a predicted model, not a curated record